RNAcentral lists this small RNA (16 nucleotides) under Arabidopsis thaliana (thale cress). Its description in RNAcentral is "ATSL115790". The record is from RNAcentral. Lineage: Eukaryota; Viridiplantae; Streptophyta; Magnoliopsida; Brassicales; Brassicaceae.
AAAAACAUACAAAAAA